GUGGGGAAUAUUGGACAAUGGGCGCAAGCCUGAUCCAGCCAUGCCGCGUGUGUGAAGAAGGCCUUUUGGUUGUAAAGCACUUUAAGCGAGGAGGAGGCUCCUUUAGUUAAUACCUAAAGAGAGUGGACGUUACUCGCAGAAUAAGCACCGGCUAACUCUGUGCCAGCAGCCGCGGUAAUACAGAGGGUGCGAGCGUUAAUCGGAUUUACUGGGCGUAAAGAGUGCGUAGGCGGCUUUUUAAGUCGGAUGUGAAAUCUCUGAGAUUAACUUAGGAAUUGCAUUCGAUACUGGAAAGCUAGAGUAUGGGAGAGGAUGGUAGAAUUCCAGGUGUAGCGGUGAAAUGCGUAGAGAUCUGGAGGAAUACCGAUGGCGAAGGCAGCCAUCUGGCCUAAUACUGACGCUGAGGUACGAAAGCAUGGGGAGCAAACAGGAUUAGAAACCCUAGUAGUCC
Molecule: ribosomal RNA, 451 nt
Filed under: uncultured bacterium
Lineage: Bacteria
Description: partial 16S ribosomal RNA
Rfam family: Bacterial small subunit ribosomal RNA
Source: RNAcentral